This 2521-nucleotide unclassified non-coding RNA is filed under the name Hevea brasiliensis (rubber tree). The record is from RNAcentral. Lineage: Eukaryota; Viridiplantae; Streptophyta; Magnoliopsida; Malpighiales; Euphorbiaceae.
GAGGUUGCCAAAUCCUGUAAAUGUCUUGUCUUGGAUUGAUUUCUUGGAGCUGUCUUUGGCCAUCGGAGUAUAUAAUUUUAGUAACACUAAAGGACUAAUUGAAGAGAGAGAGAGAGAGCUAUGCAAUAGGGGCUCAUAACUGUGGAAAAAAUAGUUGAAAACAGACAUUAAUGGCAAUUUUUUUUUUUACAGCAAUAAGAUAAAAAGAAAUUAAGAUAUUAUAAUGGUCUAUUAGCAGAAUUUUUUUAUGGAACUACUAUCAAAACAAAGGUAAGAAGCUAUCUUUCUUCAUUACAGAAUAUAUCAACUUACUGCUCCUUUGACCACAAUAGCCAUUUAAUUAUCCAGAUCAAUUCCUAGGAUCUAUACUGCUGUACCAGUAUAAAUUUCAUUUUUUAGUGGAAUGCCACUAUAAAAUUUUAAAUUUGAAUAAUAUUCUGAAGGAACAAAGAUUUAGCUUUCUUUCAGAAAUUUAGCCACUUGUAUUUACCAACUUAAAGCUGUAGGUAAGCAUACCUACUGAAAUGACAGGUUUGUAACUUUGUAAACUAAGCAAUAAGGGAUAUUGCUAUCAUCCAACAUAUUUACGUGGCUGUUACAAAGAAGAAAAUUCAAAUCACAUUUUCUGAGAACAAUUGACAAAAGUAUGUUAUUCUCGCUUUGUCUCCAGGGGAUUUGCCCAGUGUUUGUAGUGUUUGUACUUUGGAUCAUCCAAAUUGUCAGCAAUUCCAUAAGAGAAAUGAGCACUACCACGCUCCAUCAUUUUUGGGGCAACAAAAUGAAGCAGAUCUAGAAUAGAUCCAGCAGUAUAAAGCUUAUAUUCUGCAACAGCUUUAAUACCUCCAUAUCCCAUUUCAUGGUACUCUGUCCACACAUCACGACAAGUAUUGUUUGCAAUGCUACGUCCUUUAACAGCAUCCCUAAAGUCAUUCCUCUCAAUAGAAGAUGAAUGUGCCUCUGCUACAUCUUUCCCAAAUGAGAUCAUUCUUCCAUAUUUAAUGCUCUUUCUUUGAGAAACCCCAUUUUCAAUCCCAUCUUGGCUGCCAUUCUUGGUGUCGUUGUUUCUUUGCCUUGUCUUGCCAGGAACGUAACCUUCCUCAGGUGACCAGUCAAGAUCACCCCAAAUAGUGGCCCCACCUCUUGGUAUCAUUGACAUAGUUGAAUCCCAUGUGCGAGACAUCCUCAUUACAUGUUGCAAGGUCUGAAGGGAAAAUAUAUCAUUAUCCAAAAAACCUGGUGCAAUGGCCCUGGCAACUGCAAUAUCCCUUGCUUCAGCAGAGAAAAGCCCUGCAACAGCUUUUGGAACACCUAAAAAUGGACCGCCAAUAUUCAUCACCGCCUUGAUAUGCUUAGCACACCAAUCUGGUCCUCCCCCUCCACCCAUUGGAGCUGGUUCCUCAACCCACUUCAUGAAAUGCAGAAAGUACAAAACACCCAUGGAAUGUGGAAUAAUAACAGCCUUAUUCCCACCAUUGGUAGCAACCAUCAAUUCUAUAUUAGUCUUCAUGCGGCUUAAUGUUUGAUCUCGGACCUCAGUGUUCUGAAAUGAAAGUCUCCAAUCAUAUGAGGCCAUAUACAUCGUUUUCUCCCCAUAUCCAAUGCGUGCCAAGUUAGCAAUGAGAACUGCCCAGACAAAAUAUCCUGGAGCAAAGUAAUCAGCAGCCACAAGUCCAGAGACAGGCCUAACCCUUAUGCCUGGAGGAUCCAAUCCAGUUUCAUUGUCUAGUGAUAGAUGCUCUACCCAACAGAGAGGCCUCUUAUAUGCUUCUCCGAAUGUUCCACCCCAAAGCCGCUUCCGAAACAAGCCAUCAGCACACUGAUGCCCUUCCCACAACUCAAGCCCCGCCGUGACAAUCCCGGGGACAAAAACCACUGGAUGCUUAGCCUUCAAUCCUUCUUUCCUCAACUUCACACCCGGUGGGUCUGGCAAGGGACCUGUGAUGGCCUCGGUGACAUACUGGGGCAAAGAUGCAGGCAUUGCAUUGUACAGAAACAGUAGAACCCACCACACUAUGCAUAUGGAGCCCACGAACCAGUAGCAGUCGUCUAUGCAAGACCAUUUCGGUUUGCUUCCGGGCUUCUCCUCUGCACUUCCGCUGGUGGGUUUCUUUUGGUUCUUCUUUUGGUGUUUCCUUUUGUUAUUAUCCUCUUCUUCUUCCUCCUCGCUUUGUGUUUUUAAAUCCGAUGCUGAGCUUUUGCUGGGUUCAGUAGGUUUUUUGCGCAGAAUUAGAGGCAUUUUUCUGGGUUCAAUUAUCUUUGGUUAUUAAGCGAGAAAAGCUUGAUUACUGAUAAGAUGCAAAGAGCUAAAAAUUAUAUGCAUUAAAAAAUCAAACUCCAAUGAGCUUCCAAUGGCUUUUGGAAAAGAUACAAACAGAAAAGGCAAAUUUAGUAACUUUUCUGUGAAAAAAAAAAAGAAUCUUUUAAAUAAAAUUUCGAGCUUCAGCAACUGUAUAUUAACCUAAUCUCCAGAGGAUAUAUUCCAUUAAUAAUUGAUUAAAAGAGCUUCUAAAAGGGUUUUAAC